AAUCGGUCGAAAACCAAUCUGUUGAACUGGAUUAGUAAUAGUCCGGUUCUAAGAAAACAACGUUGUUUUAUUAUUUAAAAAAAAACAAACAAAACCAGCCCAUUCAUGAAACACCCCCCUUUUCUCCGAAUCGAGGAUCAUUUGUGCACCCAUUGACCCCUUCUGAAGCAAAGCAAAGAGAAUUCUAGCUUUAGGUUCCUUGCCGCCGCCAUCCCCAGGUUCUCGCCGCCUCCACUUCUUCCUCUUCUCCCUGUCCGGAACUUAGGUAGCUCGACUCGUCGUCCCCAUCUUCCCUGGCUUCUCUAUUCGUGGCUUGGAGCAGCUCGCCGUUGGAUCGCCGCUUGCCGUCGCCUCGCCUAUCGCCGUGGUCUCGCCGUUGGGUCGCCGGUUGCCAUCCAUGUCUCCGUCGAAGGGCCAAAUUGAACUUCACAACUAUCUUACAAGUGUCUAUGAAGAGGGGGAUGCAAGAUUCACCUUAAUUACCAUGAUUCAAGCACUAAACCAUGCCAAACAUGGGGUUGACAUCCUAUCAGGCACUCAAGUAAGCACUAAACCAGGCCAAAUACGUUGGACUUUUAGAGUAGUGUGAUUAUUAUUCCAAGUCUUAGUUGUUGAACUUUUAUUAAGGAUAAUAAAUAUGCAGAGCAUACUUGUUCACUUUA
Non-coding RNA from Arachis ipaensis, 662 nucleotides. The record is from RefSeq and is a predicted model, not a curated record. Lineage: Eukaryota; Viridiplantae; Streptophyta; Magnoliopsida; Fabales; Fabaceae.